GGGCGGAGCCAGAGGGGUGGCUUGGGGUGGCCCACGCCACCCCUGAGAUUCGAUUGGCCACCCCAGGUGCCACCCCAAAAUCCUACUCUACGAUUGCCCAUUAACGUGGUCAAAGGCGGAACCUUUGUUGACGCACUUUGCUGCCUUUAAAUCAGCGCGGGAGCUUGGACAGUCAGACACCAGAACUCAGAAAUAUUCAGACAAGGGUGCUGGAGACACUUCAGAUCCUUAUAAGGGUCCAUCAUCAUCAUCUUGUCUCACUGGUUGUCCACGUGCAGCUACAAACCCAACCCCUGGACCUCAUGACAUCUCCCAAUCAAGGGCAGCAGAUCCAACUCAACCUGUGCUGAGGAUGUUUCCCAAGACCACACAAGGUCAGAAAAGAAGGGCAUUCAACCCGCAGUGGUACAGCAAGUAUUCUUGGUUAGAGUACUGUGUUAGCAAAGAUUCAGCUUACUGUGUGUUAAGUAUUGAAUCCAGGAGAGCAAAAGCUUUAAAUAUGGAUAACUUUAUCAAGGUUUUCGCCAGCUCACACAAAAAUCGGCGCAUUCAGUUGUUUUAACACCAAUAUAUAGAUGGGCAAACAAAUUGUAAUUCAUUGUUCCAUGAAUAAAUAGUAUUUAGCUGAGAACUUGGAUUUUGGAUGUUAACAGCUAUAGAAAUAGA
This is a long non-coding RNA of Cyprinus carpio (common carp), 666 nucleotides long. RefSeq lists it as uncharacterized. The record is from RefSeq and is a predicted model, not a curated record. NCBI's taxonomy places the organism in Eukaryota, Metazoa, Chordata, Actinopteri, Cypriniformes, Cyprinidae. The transcript has 4 exons.